UUCCGGUUGAUCCUGCCAGACCUGACUGCUAUCGGAUUGAUACUAAGCCAUGCGAGUCAUUGUAGUAAUACAAGGCAUACGGCUCAGUAACGCGUAGUCAACCUAACCUAUGGACGGGAAUAACCUCGGGAAACUGAGUAUAAUGCCCGAUAGAACAUUAUGCCUGGAAUGGUUUAUGUUCCAAAUGAUUUAUCGCCGUAGGAUGGGACUGCGGCCUAUCAGUUUGUUGGUGAGGUAAUGGCCCACCAAGACUAUUACAGGUACGGGCUCUGAGAGGAGUAGCCCGGAGAUGGGUACUGAGACACGGACCCAGGCCCUAUGGGGCGCAGCAGGCGAGAAAACUUUGCAAUGUGCGAAAGCACGACAAGGUUAAUCCGAGUGGUUUCUGCUAAAGGAACCUUUUGUUAGUCCUAGAAACACUAACGAAUAAGGGGUGGGCAAGUUCUGGUGUCAGCCGCCGCGGUAAAACCAGCACCUCAAGUGGUCAGGAUGAUUAUUGGGCCUAAAGCAUCCGUAGUCGGCUCUGUAAGUUUUCGGUUAAAUCUGUACGCUCAACGUACAGGCUGCCGGGAAUACUGCAGAGCUAGGGAGUGGGAGAGGUAGACGGUACUCGGGAGGAAGGGGUAAAAUCCUUUGAUCUCUCGAUGACCACCUGUGGCGAAGGCGGUCUACCAGAACACGUCCGACGGUGAGGGAUGAAAGCUGGGGGAGCAAACCGGAUUAGAUACCCGGGUAGUCCCAGCUGUAAACUAUGCAAACUCAGUGAUGCAUUGACUUGUGGUCAAUGCAGUGCUGCAGGGAAGCCGUUAAGUUUGCCGCCUGGGAAGUACGUACGCAAGUAUGAAACUUAAAGGAAUUGGCGGGGGAGCACCACAAGGGGUGAAGCCUGCGGUUCAAUUGGAUUCAACGCCGGA
RNAcentral lists this ribosomal RNA (914 nucleotides) under uncultured archaeon. Its description in RNAcentral is "bacterial SSU rRNA". It matches the Rfam family "Archaeal small subunit ribosomal RNA", at positions 1 to 922 of the family's 1478-position model. The record is from RNAcentral.